This 398-nucleotide RNase P RNA is filed under the name Phaeovibrio sulfidiphilus. Its description in RNAcentral is "Bacterial RNase P class A". It matches the Rfam family "Bacterial RNase P class A". From Rfam's summary of the family: Ribonuclease P (RNase P) is a ubiquitous endoribonuclease, found in archaea, bacteria and eukarya as well as chloroplasts and mitochondria. Its best characterised activity is the generation of mature 5'-ends of tRNAs by cleaving the 5'-leader elements of precursor-tRNAs. The record is from Rfam by way of RNAcentral. Lineage: Bacteria; Pseudomonadati; Pseudomonadota; Alphaproteobacteria; Rhodospirillales; Rhodospirillaceae.
UCAGAGGAUCGGAUGGCCGCUGCCGGGCUCGCGCCCGGGGGAGGAAAGUCCGGGCUCCACGGAGACGCGGCGCCGGGUAACACCCGGCGGGGGCGACCCCCGGGACAGUGCCACAGAAAGCAAACCGCCGGUCUAUACGGCCGGCAAGGGUGAAAGGGUGCGGCAAGAGCGCACCGCGCGCCCGGCAACGGGAGCGGCACGGUAAACCCCGCCGGGAGCAAGAUCAAAAAGGAACGGCAGUCCCUCUCGCGGGGACAGACGGAGUUUCCGGGUCGCCGUUCGGGUAGUAUCGCACGAGGCGUCCGGCGACGGGCGUCCCAGAUGAAUGGCCAUCCCCGCUGCAGGCACCCCGGUGUGUGCGGUGUGGACAGAACCCGGCUUACAGAUCCUCUGACGCG